GGCCUAACACAUGCAAGUCGAGCGGUAACAGGAAUUAGCUUGCUAAUUUGCUGACGAGCGGCGGACGGGUGAGUAAUGCCUGGGAAUAUGCCUUGAUGUGGGGGAUAACUAUUGGAAACGAUAGCUAAUACCGCAUAAUGCCUACGGGCCAAAGAGGGGGAUCUUCGGACCUCUCGCGUCAAGAUUAGCCCAGGUGGGAUUAGCUAGUUGGUGGGGUAAUGGCUCACCAAGGCGACGAUCCCUAGCUGGUUUGAGAGGAUGAUCAGCCACACUGGAACUGAGACACGGUCCAGACUCCUACGGGAGGCAGCAGUGGGGAAGAUUGCACAAUGGGGGAAACCCUGAUGCAGCCAUGCCGCGUGUAUGAAGAAGGCCUUCGGGUUGUAAAGUACUUUCAGUUGUGAGGAAGGCGGUAACGUUAAUAGCGUUACCGUUUGACGUUAGCAACAGAAGAAGCACCGGCUAACUCCGUGCCAGCAGCCGCGGUAAUACGGAGGGUGCGAGCGUUAAUCGGAAUUACUGGGCGUAAAGCGCAUGC
RNAcentral lists this ribosomal RNA (538 nucleotides) under uncultured Photobacterium sp. RNAcentral's name for it is "bacterial SSU rRNA". It matches the Rfam family "Bacterial small subunit ribosomal RNA", at positions 45 to 572 of the family's 1533-position model. The record is from RNAcentral. Lineage: Bacteria; Pseudomonadati; Pseudomonadota; Gammaproteobacteria; Vibrionales; Vibrionaceae.